Molecule: ribosomal RNA, 181 nt
Filed under: uncultured bacterium
Lineage: Bacteria
Description: partial 16S ribosomal RNA
Rfam family: Bacterial small subunit ribosomal RNA
Source: RNAcentral
GAAGCCGGAAUUGCUAGUAAUGGCAGGUCAGCAUACUGCCGUGAAUACGUUCCCGGGCCUUGUACACACCGCCCGUCACACCAUGAGAGUUGGGGAUACCCGAAGCCUGUGAGCUAACUAUUUAUAGGAGCAGCAGUCGAAGGUAGAAUCAAUGAUUGGGGUGAAGUCGUAACAAGGUAUC